UGUCCUCUUGAUCAGAAGAAAAAAGUCUCUACCAAGCAGCCGGCCUGCAGAGAGACCAGAGAACAACGCUCAGAUCCCACCAGCGGAGCCUUGCUAUGCUACCGCGAGCUUCUCCAGAAACCAGGAGGAUCUUCUUCUCUACUCCAACGUCAGUCCAGCUCGCCCCCCCAGACGCAAGGAGGAGGUGGAGGAAGUUCUGUACUCACGUGUCAACUUUGAGAGUUCUGGUGCUGCCAGCGAACGGAGAUGUGAAGGAGCUGUGGAUGAUUCUUCUGCUCUGUACAGCACCG
This is a non-coding RNA of Gasterosteus aculeatus aculeatus (three-spined stickleback), 290 nucleotides long. Lineage: Eukaryota; Metazoa; Chordata; Actinopteri; Perciformes; Gasterosteidae. The record is from RefSeq and is a predicted model, not a curated record.